CGCGUAGGAAUCUACCCAGUAGUGGGGGACAACUUGGGGAAACCCAAGCUAAUACCGCAUACGCCCUAAGGGGGAAAGCGGGGGAUCUUCGGACCUCGCGCUAUUGGAUGAGCCUGCGUUGGAUUAGCUAGUUGGUGGGGUAAAGGCCUACCAAGGCGACGAUCCAUAGCUGGUCUGAGAGGAUGAUCAGCCACACUGGAACUGAGACACGGUCCAGACUCCUACGGGAGGCAGCAGUGGGGAAUAUUGCACAAUGGGCGCAAGCCUGAUGCAGCCGUGCCGCGUGUGUGAAGAAGGCCC
Molecule: ribosomal RNA, 300 nt
Filed under: uncultured Gammaproteobacteria bacterium
Lineage: Bacteria; Pseudomonadati; Pseudomonadota; Gammaproteobacteria
Description: bacterial SSU rRNA
Rfam family: Bacterial small subunit ribosomal RNA
Source: RNAcentral